RNAcentral lists this ribosomal RNA (465 nucleotides) under Vreelandella stevensii. RNAcentral describes it as "partial 16S ribosomal RNA". It matches the Rfam family "Bacterial small subunit ribosomal RNA", at positions 338 to 795 of the family's 1533-position model. Lineage: Bacteria; Pseudomonadati; Pseudomonadota; Gammaproteobacteria; Oceanospirillales; Halomonadaceae. The record is from RNAcentral.
CCUACGGGGGGCUGCAGUGGGGAAUAUUGGACAAUGGGCGAAAGCCUGAUCCAGCCAUGCCGCGUGUGUGAAGAAGGCCUUCGGGUUGUAAAGCACUUUCAGUGGGGAAGAAAGCCUUGGGGCUAAUACCCUCGAGGAAGGACAUCACCCACAGAAGAAGCACCGGCUAACUCCGUGCCAGCAGCCGCGGUAAUACGGAGGGUGCGAGCGUUAAUCGGAAUUACUGGGCGUAAAGCGCGCGUAGGCGGUCUGAUAAGCCGGUUGUGAAAGCCCCGGGCUCAACCUGGGAACGACAUCCGGAACGGUCAGGCUAGAGUGCAGGAGAGGAAGGUAGAAUUCCCGGUGUAGCGGUGAAAUGCGUAGAGAUCGGGAGGAAUACCAGUGGCGAAGGCGGCCUUCUGGACUGACACUGACGCUGAGGUGCGAAAGCGUGGGUAGCAAACAGGAUUAGAUACCCCGGUAGUC